GCUUUUGCAUAUCGCGCAAUUUGUCCCUAUAUUAGGUCUGCUGCUUGCAGCUAUGGCGAUAAAUGGCCUGCGUAAUAAACCUAUCGGACCCGGGGGCGGUACCCGGCGCCUCCACCAAAACCCAGCCCGAUGAUAUCCAAGUUGUCAUGUGGAUACCGAUUGAUUGCCGGAAACUGGGCUUUGGCGGGGGCGAAAUAGGAUCGACGAGGGCGUAAAGGUUGUGCUUUUGCUCGGUAUGAUACCCGCCGUUAUCGGGUCAACUCAGUAGUUGCAAAUGACAACAAUGCUGAAGGUUUUGCGGUAGCUGCGUAAUGCGGUUCCUGUAAUACCGAACCUAAGUCCCUCUGGUUAGCACUUUAGGGCGGGGUCCGGCAGCACCUGGCAACAGAAGCUGCCACU
RNAcentral lists this transfer-messenger RNA (399 nucleotides) under Hyphomicrobiales bacterium. Its description in RNAcentral is "Rhizobiales bacterium (seawater metagenome) transfer-messenger RNA". It matches the Rfam family "Alphaproteobacteria transfer-messenger RNA". Rfam says of the family: Bacterial tmRNA, also known as 10Sa RNA or SsrA, is named for its dual tRNA and mRNA-like properties. Lineage: Bacteria; Pseudomonadati; Pseudomonadota; Alphaproteobacteria; Hyphomicrobiales. The record is from RNAcentral.